GCGCUACUAGCUCAGCUGGUUAGAGCACCUGACUCUUAAUCAGGGUGUCCCCGGUUCGAACCCGGGGUGGCGUACUA
Molecule: transfer RNA, 77 nt
Filed under: Firmicutes bacterium HGW-Firmicutes-7
Lineage: Bacteria; Bacillati; Bacillota
Description: tRNA-Lys
Rfam family: tRNA
About the family: Transfer RNA (tRNA) molecules are approximately 80 nucleotides in length. Their secondary structure includes four short double-helical elements and three loops (D, anti-codon, and T loops).
Source: RNAcentral